This 77-nucleotide transfer RNA is filed under the name Alteromonadaceae bacterium. RNAcentral describes it as "tRNA-Gly". It matches the Rfam family "tRNA". Rfam says of the family: Transfer RNA (tRNA) molecules are approximately 80 nucleotides in length. Lineage: Bacteria; Pseudomonadati; Pseudomonadota; Gammaproteobacteria; Alteromonadales; Alteromonadaceae. The record is from RNAcentral.
GCGAGNACUAGCUCAGCUGGUAGAGCGCGACCUUGCCAAGGUCGAGGUCACGAGUUCGAACCUCGUUACUCGCUCCA